This 301-nucleotide ribosomal RNA is filed under the name uncultured bacterium. RNAcentral's name for it is "partial 16S ribosomal RNA". It matches the Rfam family "Bacterial small subunit ribosomal RNA", at positions 509 to 807 of the family's 1533-position model. The record is from RNAcentral.
CAGUAGCCGCGGUAAUACGUAUGUCACAAGCGUUAUCCGGAUUUAUUGGGCGUAAAGCGCGUCUAGGUGGUUAUGUAAGUCUGAUGUGAAAAUGCAGGGCUCAACUCUGUAUUGCGUUGGAAACUGUGUAACUAGAGUACUGGAGAGGUAAGCGGAACUACAAGUGUAGAGGUGAAAUUCGUAGAUAUUUGUAGGAAUGCCGAUGGGGAAGCCAGCUUACUGGACAGAUACUGACGCUAAAGCGCGAAAGCGUGGGUAGCAAACAGGAUUAGAUACCCCCAGUAGUCCCUGUCUCUUAUAC